AGGAAAAGAGUAAAUAGCGCAAAACCGGGAUUGCAUUUCUCCUAAAUCCUUCUGAGGAAAACAAUAUCACCGUCUCUUCUUUGUUCAAACUUCAAAACCCUUCUACUCUCCUUCCCUUAACGGUACGAUGACCGACCGUGACCGAACUCGAUACCGUGACCGUGAAAUUGACCGGGAUCGUGACCGUGACCGGGAGAGAGAGCGAGAGAGGGACAAGGAUAGAGACAGAGAUCGGAAACGUGACCGGGAUGACCGUGACCGGAGAGACCGUGAACGUUCUUACACCCCUGACCAUAUCAAAACCAGUCGACACACUCGCUCCCGAACUCGUUCCCCUUCCACUGACCGUCACCGCCACCGUCAACGUUCUACUUCCCGCUCCCGUUCUCCCACUGACCGCCGCAACCGCCACCGUCACCACCGUCCCUCAGCGGAAAGUCCUCCUAGAAAGAGACGAAAAGAUGAUGGCGAUAGGGAUAAGGAUAGGGAUAGAGAUACGCGGAGAGAGGUUGAGGAUUUUGUGGACGGGAUAGCGAAAGAACAGAAGAAGCAGAAGAAGAAGGAGGAGGAGGGGAGUGGUGAUGAAGAGAUGAUGGAUGAGGAAGAGAUUGAGAUGAUGAAGAAAUUGGGGAUACCGGUAGGGUUUGAUUCGACAAAGGGGAAGCCAGUGGCAGGGAAUGAUGUGGGUGCUGUAAGGAAAGUCACUAAACGGCAGCCUCGACAGUACAUGAAUAGGCGUGGUGGCUUCAAUAGGCCCUUGCCUGCUGAGUGCAACCGCUGAUUUUCCCAGGGUUCGUUUUAUUCAUAUUUUGAUUGUCUAAGCAUCAAGGGAAGUUCGUAUUUUGGAAGAUGGAAUGAUACUUUGACAGAUAGGUUUCAGCCCUAUUCCCUUUGAUCCUGUAGCUAGAUGUUGGAUUAUUGCUGAUGGAAAUGCACUUUCUGCCUGGCUUCUUAUGUGAGCGUGCCUCUUUGUCCAAGUAAUGGAGACAAUAUAAGAUCCUUUCAAUUGUAUGUUUAGGUCAUAAUGUGCUAUUUUUCUCAAAACUUCAUGGUAAUUGGACUUCUGCGGUGGAGAAUAGGUUCACAGUUUGCUGCAGCCUGCACCAAGCAGUAACAGAUGCGACCCAUUACUUCAGGGUCCUGCCAAAUGGUUUGCUGGUUAAUGGUGCCCCUCCCUCCCUUUAAAGCAGUCAUCCUUUAACACCAUCUGUUAUCUCAUGGAGAUCACUGAUGCAAACAUGCAUUUGGGCUAUUGCUUCUUGUCUAGGUGCUCUCAGAUUUCUCCCCAAUGAUAGGCUUUUCUUCAUAAAUCAACUUACGUUUGGAUUUGACUAUAGUGUUGCUCACUAUGCACUUUGGUGUGUGCACUAAAGUCUAGGAUUGAUCCCUUUACCUUGUAUUGAUAUUUGUAAUCUUGGCCAUUGGUACGAACUAUGUCAUUUACUUUCUUGAUGAUGUAGAAUCUGACCCAGCUCUGGGGCAUAAGCUAUUUAACUCAGGUUGGAGUGAUCGAUA
Nicotiana attenuata is the source of this 1515-nucleotide RNA transcript. It is a transcript of the gene named U4/U6.U5 small nuclear ribonucleoprotein 27 kDa protein-like, with no coding region annotated. NCBI's taxonomy places the organism in Eukaryota, Viridiplantae, Streptophyta, Magnoliopsida, Solanales, Solanaceae. The record is from RefSeq and is a predicted model, not a curated record. The transcript has 3 exons.